CGACUAACCUUUCCGGUCACUCCAGGGACGCUGUUGUCGAGUGAAAGUAGCAGUUCCUCCUUAAGGUCUCAGAUUGCUGCAUCUGAGGGUCUCUUCAAUAGAAGACGUAGUUGAUGAAGACGUUCUGGAGCAGGACCAGAAAGACCACGACCAAGCAGCCUUGAGAUCUUAGGCAGCUUCUCCCUCAGGUCCCUCUCUAUCUCCCCACACAUCCACCAACCACUGGAACACAUCUCCAAAGUUCUGCAGGGCCAGCUCAGCUUCCCCUCAGAAGAAGUGCUGCCACCUGCCAGAUGAAGGAGCCUUUUGAGAGGCAGCUGGCAUCGUGAUUGGACUGUACUUUUGUCUGUUCCAAUCCAGCUUCAGCUCCAGAGACGGCAGGCGGGACGAGUCAACGGAGGCCGGAUGGACGAAGGCAUGCAGCUGAGUACAAUCCAGAAAACAACAGAGGAGGAAUGCAGCGGCUCAGUAUAGCCUUCGGUAUGAAAAAACACCAUCAUAUACAUUGUAUAUUGUACAAAUAACAAGUCAAAGGAAAGAGACAUACAUUGUAGAAUUGUAGUAAUUGUGGCCUGACUGAUUUACUGAUUAUCAGUAUUUUAUUUUUUACUGAUUUACGGUAAUAAAUCAAUUUAAAAAUGGUGCUACUUUGGCUCUGAACCUUUAUCUACCUGUGGUCUCUCUGUCUUCUGGAGUGAUUUGAUUGGUUAUACGUCACGAAUAAAACUCCUUUAACUUAACAUCUGUA
Molecule: long non-coding RNA, 748 nt
Organism: Amphiprion ocellaris (clown anemonefish)
Lineage: Eukaryota; Metazoa; Chordata; Actinopteri; Pomacentridae
Source: Ensembl